RNAcentral lists this small nucleolar RNA (221 nucleotides) under Polistes fuscatus (common paper wasp). Its description in RNAcentral is "small nucleolar RNA U3". It matches the Rfam family "Small nucleolar RNA U3". Rfam says of the family: Small nucleolar RNAs (snoRNAs) are involved in the processing and modification of rRNA in the nucleolus. There are two main classes of snoRNAs: the box C/D class, and the box H/ACA class. U3 snoRNA is a member of the box C/D class. The record is from RNAcentral. Lineage: Eukaryota; Metazoa; Arthropoda; Insecta; Hymenoptera; Vespidae.
UAGAUCGUACUUCAUGGGAUCAUCUUUGUAGUAUAUAUUUAAAACUGCUUUUUAUAAAGCUGAGUCGAUGUAACUACGAUAACAGCUUUAGCUCUCUUUUUUGAGCGAAGAAGGACGGAUUCAGAAUUUUGAUUUUUCACAUCAAGAUUUUGGUCACUGAUGAUCGUUUACUUCUAUUACUUAAUAAAGAGAGCUAAAGGAAGUAGAGCUAUCCGAAUAGA